GUCAUGGCUGCCUAAAAUGCAUCCAAACAUUCAGUAUCUCCUCCCUCUGCAUGCAGACACUGAACUUUCCUCAUUGAGAUUCAUUGAUUGAAUUCAUCUCGAUGAGGAGAUGCUGAUUGGCCAGGGCUGAUCUGCCUCUUUGUCAGUCUCAGACAAUCCUAUGGGGAAGCAUUGUGAUUGGAUCAGGCUACAACUUCUGCUGAUGUCAGCAGGUAGUGGGCAGGUCUAAAUGAAACAGAGCCAGAGCUAGCAGCUCCAGACUUGAAUACAAGUAAGAUGUUUCUAUUUUUAGGGAUGCAUGAGGGGACCAUGGGGGCUAGAUGGUGGCUUUAACCCUAUAGGGUCAGGAAUACAUGUUUGUGUUCCUGACCCUAUAGUGCUCCUUUAAGAAACAACUGCAGUGACUUGUACUUGUGAGAACAUGCCUAUUACUACAGCAAGACAGAACAACUUCUAUAGCUCUAGGCUGCUUGACUUCACACUGAUACUGCGAAUGGAUCUUCGUAAACAGCUACUAGUAUCACCUCCUUUCUUUGUUGUUAUUUACAGCCAGUCGUUUGCUACGUGCCAUGAGGCACCUCAGGAAUAAAAAUCUUAACCACAAAGGUACAUAAAGAUUUCAAGCAGUUUUUCUGUGUUUUAAUACACUAGAAUGGGUAAUGCAUGGUCUUACAAAUUAUAAUAAUCAUGUAAUGUAUGGACUUACGACUUACAAAGUAUA
This is a non-coding RNA of Pelobates cultripes (western spadefoot toad), 721 nucleotides long. The record is from the annotation of a GenBank genome assembly. NCBI's taxonomy places the organism in Eukaryota, Metazoa, Chordata, Amphibia, Anura, Pelobatidae.